This is a long non-coding RNA of Rhipicephalus microplus (southern cattle tick), 408 nucleotides long. NCBI's taxonomy places the organism in Eukaryota, Metazoa, Arthropoda, Arachnida, Ixodida, Ixodidae. The record is from RefSeq and is a predicted model, not a curated record.
AAACAGGAGUCGUUCACCACCCGAUAUCGCACAACUUCGUAGCCAGCACGGAAAGAAAUCUUCGCUAAUCACAACCAUGAUUGCUGUGAGCAGCAAGUCCUUCCUCCUCGCCCUGUUUGUGCUCGCUGUCGUCUGCAGCAUAGCCGCUGCCCAGUUCGGCUUCGGACGAGGAGGAUACGGAAGGGGCUAUGGCGGCUACGGAGGAGGCUUCGGCCGUGGAUACGGAGGAGGCUAUGGCCGCGGAUACGGCGGAUACGGCCGCGGAUUUGGAGGCUAUGGACGUGGAUUCUACGGCUGAGCGCUAACUUCAUUUGCACGAAUAACAAUCGACUACUACCACGAACAACGAAGAUGAAUUUACUAUAUUCAACGCACGGCACGAAAAAAUAAAUUGUUUAUUGCUGACAA